CACUUCUCCCCUGCUCCAGACUGAACCUUGUGCUAGCUUUUCAUGCAGAGAUAAUAGUUGUGUUUAGCAGUGGCUAGUUCUUGUUUCUGCAUGGACUGUUAGUGAAUAAUGUUCCAGGUUGUGGCUGAGCAAAAGGUGCGUGUUCUUACCCUGCCGUGCAGUGAUGUGGCGCUGGCAUCACUCCUCCGUUCGUUCAUGGAUGCGGUCAGUGUCCACUGGUUGGUGUCAGGAUCAUAGCGUUCUGCUGAUUUGAGCCGUCCAUGUCCAUCAAAGCCACCGAUGGCAUAAAUGAACCCAUCCAGAGCAGCAACACUAACAUAGCAUCGCCGUUCAUACAUGGGAGCCACCUACAACAACAUGGUUUUACCGUUUUUUUUUUUUUUUUUUUCAUAUAAGUCAGUGCAUACAUCAAUACACUAUUUCAUUGUUCUCUUUAAUCAGUUGCAAUAAAGUACAAUGAUAUUA
Carassius gibelio (silver crucian carp) is the source of this 465-nucleotide long non-coding RNA. RefSeq lists it as uncharacterized. The record is from RefSeq and is a predicted model, not a curated record. Lineage: Eukaryota; Metazoa; Chordata; Actinopteri; Cypriniformes; Cyprinidae. The transcript is spliced from 2 exons.